GACGAACGCUGGCGGCGUGCUUAACACAUGCAAGUCGAACGGAAAGGCCCUGCCUUUGUGGGGUGCUCGAGUGGCGAACGGGUGAGUAACACGUGAGUAACCUGCCCUUGACUUUGGGAUAACUUCAGGAAACUGGGGCUAAUACCGGAUAGGAGCUCCUGCUGCAUGGUGGGGGUUGGAAAGUUUCGGCGGUUGGGGAUGGACUCGCGGCUUAUCAGCUUGUUGGUGGGGUAGUGGCUUACCAAGGCUUUGACGGGUAGCCGGCCUGAGAGGGUGACCGGCCACAUUGGGACUGAGAUACGGCCCAGACUCCUACGGGAGGCAGCAGUGGGGAAUAUUGCACAAUGGGCGGAAGCCUGAUGCAGCGACGCCGCGUGCGGGAUGACGGCCUUCGGGUUGUAAACCGCUUUCGCCUGUGACGAAGCGUGAGUGACGGUAAUGGGUAAAGAAGCACCGGCUAACUACGUG
Molecule: ribosomal RNA, 468 nt
Filed under: uncultured bacterium
Lineage: Bacteria
Description: partial 16S ribosomal RNA
Rfam family: Bacterial small subunit ribosomal RNA
Source: RNAcentral